This 497-nucleotide ribosomal RNA is filed under the name uncultured bacterium. RNAcentral describes it as "partial 16S ribosomal RNA". It matches the Rfam family "Bacterial small subunit ribosomal RNA", at positions 28 to 507 of the family's 1533-position model. The record is from RNAcentral.
GAUGAACGCUGGCGGCGUGCCUAAUACAUGCAAGUCGAGCGAACAGACGAGGAGCUUGCUCCUCUGACGUUAGCGGCGGACGGGUGAGUAGCACGUGGAUAACCUACCUAUAAGACUGGGAUAACUUCGGGAAACCGGAGCUAAUACCGGAUAACAUGUUGAACCGCAUGGUUUAACAGUGAAAGACGGUCUUGCUGUCACUUAUAGAUGGAUCCGCGCCGCAUUAGCUAGUUGGUAAGGUAACGGCUUACCAAGGCAACGAUGCGUAGCCGACCUGAGAGGGUGAUCGGCCACACUGGAACUGAGACACGGUCCAGACUCCUACGGGAGGCAGCAGUAGGGAAUCUUCCGCAAUGGGCGAAAGCCUGACGGAGCAACGCCGCGUGAGUGAAGAAGGUCUUCGGAUCGUAAAACUCUGUUAUUAGGGAAGAACAAAUGUGUAAGUAACUAUGCACGUCUUGACGGUACCUAAUCAGAAAGCCACGGCUAACUACGUG